GAUGGACAACAGGUUGAUAUUCCUGUACUACCGAUAACCGUUUGAGAGAUGGGAUGACACAGUAGGAUAAGCUAAGCACACUGUUGGUUAUGUGUGCCCAAGCAUUGAGGCAGUCAAAGUAGGUAAAUCCGCUUUGAUAAUGCUGGGAUGGGAUGGGGAGCGAAAUUUAGUAGCGAAGUAGCUGAUUUCACACUGUCAAGAAAAGUCUCUAUCGAGG
RNAcentral lists this ribosomal RNA (217 nucleotides) under Clostridioides difficile. RNAcentral describes it as "partial 23S ribosomal RNA". It matches the Rfam family "Bacterial large subunit ribosomal RNA", at positions 1417 to 1630 of the family's 2925-position model. The record is from RNAcentral. Lineage: Bacteria; Bacillati; Bacillota; Clostridia; Peptostreptococcales; Peptostreptococcaceae.